RNAcentral lists this small RNA (161 nucleotides) under Nothoprocta perdicaria. Its description in RNAcentral is "TUC338 (ENSNPEG00000002458.1)". Lineage: Eukaryota; Metazoa; Chordata; Aves; Tinamiformes; Tinamidae. The record is from RNAcentral.
UUGUAAGUCUGGGAAAAAAGCAGCAAGGCAGGUCCAGCAGAGGAAGCAGCGCUGCAAACUUUGUCCACCUGCCCUGCCACAGUGACCGCAAGCUGGAUCUGGAAGGACCACUCUGGGAACAAGAAGCAAUUCAGUUUUCUUAACAGCUAAUUCCUGAAUCU